Molecule: ribosomal RNA, 252 nt
Filed under: uncultured bacterium
Lineage: Bacteria
Description: partial 16S ribosomal RNA
Rfam family: Bacterial small subunit ribosomal RNA
Source: RNAcentral
UACGGAGGAUGCGGGCGUUAUCCGGAUUUAUUGGGUUUAAAGGGUGCGCAGGCGGCGUGUCAAGUCAGCGGUAAAAUGUCGGGGCUCAACCCCGGCCGGCCGUUGAAACUGGCGUGCUCGAGUUGGAGAGAAGUAUGCGGAAUUCGUGGUGUAGCGGUGAAAUGCAUAGAUAUCACGAAGAACCCCGAUUGCGAAGGCAGCAUACCGGCUCCACACUGACGCUGAGGCACGAAAGCGUGGGUAUCGAGCAGG